GAUGAACGCUGGCGGCGUGCCUAAUACAUGCAAGUCGAGCGAACAGAUGAGGAGCUUGCUCCUCUGACGUUAGCGGCGGACGGGUGAGUAACAAGUGGAUAACCUACCUAUAAGACUGGGAUAACUUCGGGAAACCGGAGCUAAUACCGGAUAAUAUAUUGAACCGCAUGGUUCAAUAGUGAAAGACGGUUUUGCUGUCACUUAUAGAUGGAUCCGCGCCGCAUUAGCUAGUUGGUAAGGUAACGGCUUACCAAGGCAACGAUGCGUAGCCGACCUGAGAGGGUGAUCGGCCACACUGGAACUGAGACACGGUCCAGACUCCUACGUGAGGCAGCAGUAGGGAAUCUUCCGCAAUGGGCGAAAGCCUGACGGAGCAACGCCGCGUGAGUGAUGAAGGUCUUCGGAUCGUAAAACUCUGUUAUUAGGGAAGAACAAAUGUGUAAGUAACUAUGCACGUCUUGACGGUACCUAAUCAGAAAGCCACGGCUAACUACGUG
This 497-nucleotide ribosomal RNA is filed under the name uncultured bacterium. RNAcentral's name for it is "partial 16S ribosomal RNA". It matches the Rfam family "Bacterial small subunit ribosomal RNA", at positions 28 to 507 of the family's 1533-position model. The record is from RNAcentral.